UACCAGCACCCCGAGUGGUCGGGACGAUUAUUGGGCCUAAAGCAUCCGUAGCCGGUCAUGCAAGUCUUCUGUUAAAUCCAGCCGCUCAACGGUUGGGCUGCGGAGGAUACUACGUGGCUAGGAGGCGGGAGAGGCAAGCGGUACUCAGUGGGUAGGGGUAAAAUCCUUUGAUCCAUUGAAGACCACCAGUGGCGAAGGCGGCUUGCCAGAACGCGCUCGACGGUGAGGGAUGAAAGCUGGGGGAGCAAACCGG
RNAcentral lists this ribosomal RNA (253 nucleotides) under uncultured bacterium. Its description in RNAcentral is "partial 16S ribosomal RNA". It matches the Rfam family "Archaeal small subunit ribosomal RNA", at positions 474 to 727 of the family's 1478-position model. The record is from RNAcentral.